GACGAACGCUGGCGGCGUGCUUAACACAUGCAAGUCGAACGGAGCGGCGAACGGGUGAGUAACGCGUGAGUAACUGCCACCCUCCUUGGGAUGACAGAUGGAAACGGCUGAUAAUACCGGAUAGCGGGGGAUGGCUCGCGUCGUAUGAGCUUGGUGGUUGGGUAGGGGCCUAGCAAGCCGACGACGGGUUGCCGGCCUGGGAGGGGAGCCAGCCACAAGAGGCUGAGGUACGGACCAGUGUCGUACGGGGGGCAGCGGGGGGGAAUCUGACGCAGUGGGGGAAACUCUGAUGCGGAGGCGCCGGGUGCGGGAUGACGGCCUUCGGGUUGUGAACCGGUUUCAGCCAUGACGCGGUAGUGGCAGAAGAAGCACCGGCUAACUACGUGCCAGCAGCCGCGGUAAUAC
Molecule: ribosomal RNA, 405 nt
Filed under: uncultured bacterium
Lineage: Bacteria
Description: partial 16S ribosomal RNA
Rfam family: Bacterial small subunit ribosomal RNA
Source: RNAcentral